GUGUGGCAUAGUGGUUUGAGUGUUAGACUACAAUUUUGGAGACCAGGGUUCGAAUCCCUGCUCAAACA
This is a non-coding RNA of Phrynosoma platyrhinos (Desert horned lizard), 68 nucleotides long. The record is from the annotation of a GenBank genome assembly. NCBI's taxonomy places the organism in Eukaryota, Metazoa, Chordata, Lepidosauria, Squamata, Phrynosomatidae.